GAUUCGUCUAACAACCCUUUGCCACACAAAUGAAUAAUUUGAUAUUUUUUUAAAAGUUCCUGCAAAUUUUUAUGUACGGCAUCGUUGAUGGUUUUAGCGCCCAAGCUUCCACCCAUAAACAUCAAAAUCGGUUUUUGAGCCUCAA
This 145-nucleotide non-coding RNA is filed under the name bovine gut metagenome. Its description in RNAcentral is "Staphylococcus sRNA 414". It matches the Rfam family "Staphylococcus sRNA 414", at positions 15 to 156 of the family's 175-position model. From Rfam's summary of the family: Antisense of an annotated CDS (SAOUHSC_1422) but was considered an trans-encoded sRNA rather than a typical antisense RNA. Target prediction revealed enrichment of iron-coding genes and genes with function in cofator metabolism. The record is from RNAcentral.